UACGAGGGGUCCAAGCGUUGUUCGGAAUCACUGGGCGUAAAGCGGGUGUAGGUGGCCUGCCAAGUUGGAUGUGAAAGCCCCGGGCUCAACCCGGGAAGUGCAUCCAAAACUAGCAGGCUUGAGUAAGGGAGAGGAUGGUAGAAUUCUUGGUGUAGUGGUGAAAUACGUAGAUAUCAAGAGGAACACCGGUGGCGAAGGCGGCCAUCUGGCCCAUUACUGACACUCAGACCCGAAAGCGUGGGUAGCAAACAGG
This 253-nucleotide ribosomal RNA is filed under the name uncultured bacterium. RNAcentral's name for it is "partial 16S ribosomal RNA". It matches the Rfam family "Bacterial small subunit ribosomal RNA", at positions 524 to 776 of the family's 1533-position model. The record is from RNAcentral.